UGGGCAGCCUCUGAUGAACUGUCAAUGUUGA
RNAcentral lists this non-coding RNA (31 nucleotides) under Mus musculus (house mouse). Lineage: Eukaryota; Metazoa; Chordata; Mammalia; Rodentia; Muridae. The record is from RNAcentral.